GACGAACGCUGGCGGCGUGCCUAAUACAUGCAAGUCGAGCGAAGUUUUUCUGGUGCUUGCACUAGAAAAACUUAGCGGCGAACGGGUGAGUAACACGUAAAGAACCUGCCUUAUAGACUGGGACAGCUAUUGGAAACGAUAGCUAAUACCGGAUAACAGCAUUAACUGCAUGGUUGAUGUUUAAAAGUUGGUUUUGCUAACACUAUGAGAUGGCUUUGCGGUGCAUUAGCUAGUUGGUGGGGUAAAGGCCUACCAAGGCGACGAUGCAUAGCCGACCUGAGAGGGUGAUCGGCCACACUGGGACUGAGACACGGCCCAGACUCCUACGGGAGGCAGCAGUAGGGAAUCUUCCGCAAUGGGCGAAAGCCUGACGGAGCAACGCCGCGUGAGUGAAGAAGGAUUUCGGUUCGUAAAGCUCUGUUGUUAGGGAAGAAUGAUUGUGUAGUAACUAUACACAGUAGAGACGGUACCUAACCAGAAAGCCACGGCUAACUACGUGCCAGCAGCCGCGGUAAUACGUAGGUGGCAAGCGUUGUCCGGAAUUAUUGGGCGUAAAGCGCGCGCAGGUGGUUUAAUAAGUCUGAUGUGAAAGCCCACGGCUCAACCGUGGAGGGUCAUUGGAAACUGUUAAACUUGAGUGCAGGAGAGAAAAGUGGAAUUCCUAGUGUAGCGGUGAAAUGCGUAGAGAUUAGGAGGAACACCAGUGGCGAAGGCGGCUUUUUGGCCUGUAACUGACACUGAGGCGCGAAAGCGUGGGGAGCAAACAGG
RNAcentral lists this ribosomal RNA (768 nucleotides) under uncultured bacterium. RNAcentral describes it as "bacterial SSU rRNA". It matches the Rfam family "Bacterial small subunit ribosomal RNA", at positions 28 to 776 of the family's 1533-position model. The record is from RNAcentral.